This 253-nucleotide ribosomal RNA is filed under the name uncultured bacterium. RNAcentral describes it as "partial 16S ribosomal RNA". It matches the Rfam family "Bacterial small subunit ribosomal RNA", at positions 524 to 776 of the family's 1533-position model. The record is from RNAcentral.
UACAGAGGUGGCAAGCGUUGUUCGGAAUUACUGGGCGUAAAGGGCGCGUAGGCGGUUCGUUAAGUCCUGUGUGAAAUCCCCCGGCUCAACUGGGGAACUGCACAGGAAACUAGCGGGCUUGAGUUCGGGAGAGGGAAGCGGAAUUCCGGGUGUAGCGGUGAAAUGCGUAGAUAUCCGGAGGAACACCGGUGGCGAAGGCGGCUAGCUGGACAGUAACUGACACUCAACUGCGAAAGCGUGGGGAGCAAACAGG